Gallus gallus (chicken) is the source of this 465-nucleotide long non-coding RNA. RefSeq lists it as uncharacterized. NCBI's taxonomy places the organism in Eukaryota, Metazoa, Chordata, Aves, Galliformes, Phasianidae. The record is from RefSeq and is a predicted model, not a curated record. The transcript is spliced from 2 exons.
GUGAUGAUGCGUUGGCACAGGCAACAUGUGGAGUCCUGGAGGUGUUCCAGAACCAUGGAGAUGUGGCAGCUGGGGACAUGCCCGAUGCAAAGCUUUUGUCCAGCAGUUACAGAGAACAGACCAAACUGCAGAGAAACAGCAGCACAAUACUGCUACGGGUCUUUCUUCUACGUGGUCCUAGAAGAUGCUACAGAUCUGACCAUCCUCUGUUAAACACAACACAAACAAGUGAGGAGACCCAAGGGGCUGCGAGAGGGAAGAGGCACAGAAUGGUGUGGGCCCAUUUGUGUGCUUGCAAAAAGAGGCAGCUGCAAAAAUUUCCUACCCAGAAGGCAGCAGACGAGGCGCCCAGUGCCCACAUGCAGUCUCCGUGUUCCUCCUCCUCUUCUGCACCAAGAGUGAAUCGGAUGCUCAGGUGUUGACAAAAAGCUACCAGCACAAAGCAAGGUUAAAAAAGCAAUAACU